This 1053-nucleotide ribosomal RNA is filed under the name Vibrio sagamiensis. Its description in RNAcentral is "bacterial SSU rRNA". It matches the Rfam family "Bacterial small subunit ribosomal RNA", at positions 57 to 1088 of the family's 1533-position model. The record is from RNAcentral. Lineage: Bacteria; Pseudomonadati; Pseudomonadota; Gammaproteobacteria; Vibrionales; Vibrionaceae.
GCAGUCGAGCGGAGACGACAUAACUGAACCUUCGGGGAACGUUAAGGGCGUCGAGCGGCGGACGGGUGAGUAAUGCCUAGGAAAUUGCCCUGAUGUGGGGGAUAACCAUUGGAAACGAUGGCUAAUACCGCAUGAUGCCUACGGGCCAAAGAGGGGGACCUUCGGGCCUCUCGCGUCAGGAUAUGCCUAGGUGGGAUUAGCUAGUUGGUGAGGUAAUGGCUCACCAAGGCGACGAUCCCUAGCUGGUCUGAGAGGAUGAUCAGCCACACUGGAACUGAGACACGGUCCAGACUCCUACGGGAGGCAGCAGUGGGGAAUAUUGCACAAUGGGCGCAAGCCUGAUGCAGCCAUGCCGCGUGUGUGAAGAAGGCCUUCGGGUUGUAAAGCACUUUCAGUCGUGAGGAAGGUGGUAGUGUUAAUAGCACUAUCAUUUGACGUUAGCGACAGAAGAAGCACCGGCUAACUCCGUGCCAGCAGCCGCGGUAAUACGGAGGGUGCGAGCGUUAAUCGGAAUUACUGGGCGUAAAGCGCAUGCAGGUGGUUUGUUAAGUCAGAUGUGAAAGCCCGGGGCUCAACCUCGGAAUAGCAUUUGAAACUGGCAGACUAGAGUACUGUAGAGGGGGGUAGAAUUUCAGGUGUAGCGGUGAAAUGCGUAGAGAUCUGAAGGAAUACCGGUGGCGAAGGCGGCCCCCUGGACAGAUACUGACACUCAGAUGCGAAAGCGUGGGGAGCAAACAGGAUUAGAUACCCUGGUAGUCCACGCCGUAAACGAUGUCUACUUGGAGGUUGUGGCCUUGAGCCGUGGCUUUCGGAGCUAACGCGUUAAGUAGACCGCCUGGGGAGUACGGUCGCAAGAUUAAAACUCAAAUGAAUUGACGGGGGCGCGCACAAGCGGUGUAGCAUGUGGUUUAAUUCGAUGCAACGCGAAGAACCUUACCUACUCUUGACAUCCAGAGAACUUUUCAGAGAUGGAUUGUGCCUUCGGGAACUCUGAGACAGGUGCUGCAUGGCCUGUCGUCAGCUCGUGUUGUGAAAUGUUGGGGUUAAGUUCCC